UGGGGGUCAUUCAAGUUGUCUUGGCGUAUGC
Molecule: non-coding RNA, 31 nt
Filed under: Homo sapiens (human)
Lineage: Eukaryota; Metazoa; Chordata; Mammalia; Primates; Hominidae
Source: RNAcentral